GGGGAUUUAGCUCAGCGGUAGAGCGUUUGCCUAGCAAGCGCAAGGCCCUGGGUUCGGUCCCCAGCUCUG
This 69-nucleotide transfer RNA is filed under the name Rattus norvegicus (Norway rat). It matches the Rfam family "tRNA". Rfam says of the family: Transfer RNA (tRNA) molecules are approximately 80 nucleotides in length. Their secondary structure includes four short double-helical elements and three loops (D, anti-codon, and T loops). Further hydrogen bonds mediate the characteristic L-shaped molecular structure. tRNAs have two regions of fundamental functional importance: the anti-codon, which is responsible for specific mRNA codon recognition, and the 3' end, to which the tRNAs corresponding amino acid is attached (by aminoacyl-tRNA synthetases). tRNAs cope with the degeneracy of the genetic code in two manners: having more than one tRNA (with a specific anti-codon) for a particular amino acid; and 'wobble' base-pairing, i.e. permitting non-standard base-pairing at the 3rd anti-codon position. Lineage: Eukaryota; Metazoa; Chordata; Mammalia; Rodentia; Muridae. The record is from Rfam by way of RNAcentral.